Molecule: long non-coding RNA, 239 nt
Filed under: Mytilus galloprovincialis (Mediterranean mussel)
Lineage: Eukaryota; Metazoa; Mollusca; Bivalvia; Mytilida; Mytilidae
Source: RNAcentral
UUGAUUUAUCUUUGUCAUAUUUUUUUGUAGAAGGCUUUUUAAAAAACUUAAGUCGGAAGCUUAAUUUUUCAAAUUGUUUCUCAUCUGAGCUUUUUUAUAAAGGCGACUUUACGAUAUCGGCUUUCACGUUGCUGAGUGUCGUGCAGUGGCCAAGAAUUGCCUAUAUGCACUUCAUAUGAACACUUGUGGAUAGCUAUUUCAUUGAAAAUCAUACCACAUCUCCUUAUUUUUAUUCAAAC